RNAcentral lists this ribosomal RNA (708 nucleotides) under Escherichia coli. RNAcentral describes it as "bacterial SSU rRNA". It matches the Rfam family "Bacterial small subunit ribosomal RNA", at positions 56 to 748 of the family's 1533-position model. The record is from RNAcentral. Lineage: Bacteria; Pseudomonadati; Pseudomonadota; Gammaproteobacteria; Enterobacterales; Enterobacteriaceae.
UGCAAGUCGAACGGUAACAGAAGGCAGCUUGCUGCUUUGCUGACGAGUGGCGGACGGGUGAGUAAUGUCUGGGAAACUGCCUGAUGGAGGGGGAUAACUACUGGAAACGGUAGCUAAUACCGCAUAACGUCUCAAGACCAAAGAGGGGGACCUUCGGGCCUCUUGCCAUCGGAUGUGCCCAGAUGGGAUUAGCUUGUUGGUGGGGUAACGGCUCACCAAGGCGACGAUCCCUAGCUGGUCUGAGAGGAUGACCAGCCACACUGGAACUGAGACACGGUCCAGACUCCUACGGGAGGCAGCAGUGGGGAAUAUUGCACAAUGGGCGCAAGCCUGAUGCAGCCAUGCCGCGUGUAUGAAGAAGGCCUUCGGGUUGUAAAGUACUUUCAGCGGGGAGGAAGGGAGUAAAGUUAAUACCUUUGCUCAUUGACGUUACCCGCAGAAGAAGCACCGGCUAACUCCGUGCCAGCAGCCGCGGUAAUACGGAGGGUGCAAGCGUUAAUCGGAAUUACUGGGCGUAAAGCGCACGCAGGCGGUUUGUUAAGUCAGAUGUGAAAUCCCCGGGCUCAACCUGGGAACUGCAUCUGAUACUGGCAAGCUUGAGUCUCGUAGAGGGGUGGUAGAAUUCCAUGUGUAGCGAGUGAAAUGCGUAGAGAUCUGGAGGAAUCCUCCAUGGCGAAGGCGAGCCACCUGGACGAAGACUGACGACUC